AUUGAACGCUGGCGGCAUGCUUUACACAUGCAAGUCGAACGGCAGCACGGGGGCGAACCCUCGGUGGCGAGUGGCGAACGGGUGAGUAAUACAUCGGAACGUGUCCUAUUGUGGGGGAUAACCAGUCGAAAGAUUGGCUAAUACCGCAUGAGCUGGAGACAGGAAAGCGGGGACCCGCAAGGCCUCGCGCGAUUGGAGCGGCCGAUGUCCGAUUAGCUAGUAGGAGGGUAAAGGCCUACCUAGGCGACGAUCGGUAGCUGGUCUGAGAGGAUGAUCAGCCACACUGGGACUGAGACACGGCCCAGACUCCUACGGGAGGCAGCAGUGGGGAAUUUUGGACAAUGGGGGCAACCCUGAUCCAGCCAUGCCGCGUGAGUGAAGAAGGCCU
Molecule: ribosomal RNA, 388 nt
Filed under: uncultured bacterium
Lineage: Bacteria
Description: bacterial SSU rRNA
Rfam family: Bacterial small subunit ribosomal RNA
Source: RNAcentral